RNAcentral lists this ribosomal RNA (136 nucleotides) under Neogale vison (American mink). The record is from RNAcentral. Lineage: Eukaryota; Metazoa; Chordata; Mammalia; Carnivora; Mustelidae.
GUCUACGGCCAUACCACCCUGAACGCGCUGGAUCUCGUCUGAUCUCGGAAGCUAAGCAGGGUCGGGCCUGGUUAGUACAUGGACGGGAGAUAAUAAUGGGAGGAAAGCCCUUGUUUUAACCUUAGUUUUGGAAUCA